GCGGCGGAGGCGGUGGGCCGUCCCGGGCCGCCCCUGGUGCUGCUCGGGACGGGGCCGGAGCCGGGGGCGGGCCGGUGGGGGCGCUGCGCACCGGGAACGGCCCCCGCGAGCGCUCGGCAGAGGUGUGUUGCGCGGUGGCCUUUCGGGCCCCGCCUCCGAUCCGGCCCGACCCGAGCCUCGGAAAAGCGCGAUUGGGGGGCGCCGAGGGCGGCCACAUCUCGAGGAGUGCGGGGGUGGCCGGUCAGAGCAUAGAAUUUCAAAUUCUAGCUGGCCACAUGUCUUCCCAGAAUAAAAGCAAGUUUCUCGGACUUCCUUGCAGCUAGGGAUGGUUACAUGGCUCAUUUCCAGCCAACAGGAGCUUCCCACCACAGGAGAAUGAAAGACCAAGAAAAACUUGCUGGACACCAGGAGUUGGACCGCACAAGGCAUUGAGACUGUCCUGAGGGCACCUGAUUGCACCCUGCCUUCCGCCCACAUUACAAGCCCAAGGACUCGGCCCCGAAUCCACUCACAACAAGAGCUUCCCGCUAGAGACUGCAUACAAGGAUGAAACUCCAGCUCCUGGCUGCUGCCAGCAUCGACCCAAUGUCCUCUUCCCUUUGGGUAUCCUCUCCCCCAUCCUCUCCCCUUAAAUACAUUUAGCCGCCUGCACAUGCCAACCACCAUGUUAACCUUUCAG
Long non-coding RNA from Myotis daubentonii (Daubenton's bat), 679 nucleotides. RefSeq lists it as uncharacterized. NCBI's taxonomy places the organism in Eukaryota, Metazoa, Chordata, Mammalia, Chiroptera, Vespertilionidae. The record is from RefSeq and is a predicted model, not a curated record.